Molecule: ribosomal RNA, 735 nt
Filed under: uncultured bacterium
Lineage: Bacteria
Description: bacterial SSU rRNA
Rfam family: Bacterial small subunit ribosomal RNA
Source: RNAcentral
ACUCCUACGGGUGGCUGCAGUGGGGAAUAUUGCGCAAUGGGGGGAACCCUGACGCAGCCAUGCCGCGUGAAUGAAGAAGGCCUUCGGGUUGUAAAGUUCUUUCGGUAUUGAGGAAGGUUGAUGUGUUAAUAGCACAUCAAAUUGACGUUAAAUACAGAAGAAGCACCGGCUAACUCCGUGCCAGCAGCCGCGGUAAUACGGAGGGUGCGAGCGUUAAUCGGAAUAACUGGGCGUAAAGGGCACGCAGGCGGUUAUCUAAGUGAGGUGUGAAAGCCCUGGGCUUAACCUAGGAAUUGCAUUUCAGACUGGGUAACUAGAGUACUUUAGGGAGGGGUAGAAUUCCACGUGUAGCGGUGAAAUGCGUAGAGAUGUGGAGGAAUACCGAAGGCGAAGGCAGCCCCUUGGGAAUGUACUGACGCUCAUGUGCGAAAGCGUGGGGAGCAAACAGGAUUAGAUACCCUGGUAGUCCACGCUGUAAACGCUGUCGAUUUGGGGAUUGGGCUUAGAGCUUGGUGCCCGUAGCUAACGUGAUAAAUCGACCGCCUGGGGAGUACGGCCGCAAGGUUAAAACUCAAAUGAAUUGACGGGGGCCCGCACAAGCGGUGGAGCAUGUGGUUUAAUUCGAUGCAACGCGAAGAACCUUACCUACUCUUGACAUCCUAAGAAGAGCUCAGAGAUGAGCUUGUGCCUUCGGGAACUUAGAGACAGGUGGUGCAUGGCUGUCGUCAGCUCGUG